AGAAACUUAGGAUAGACACAAACCAGAGGCCUUCAAAGCCCCAAACAAGAGCUCAACACUCUUAGUUUCUG
Molecule: transfer RNA, 71 nt
Filed under: Dibamus sp. TMT-2004a
Lineage: Eukaryota; Metazoa; Chordata; Lepidosauria; Squamata; Dibamidae
Description: tRNA-Trp
Source: RNAcentral